RNAcentral lists this long non-coding RNA (782 nucleotides) under Rattus norvegicus (Norway rat). RNAcentral describes it as "long non-coding RNA NONRATT005969". Lineage: Eukaryota; Metazoa; Chordata; Mammalia; Rodentia; Muridae. The record is from RNAcentral.
CUUGUUGGCGUGGCCCAGAAUCUUUAGGCCAGUUCUUCCUCCCUGGUGUGACCCCAAAACUGACCCCACCAGAGAUCACCACCCGAAAGGGUAUCUGGAAGAGGCUUGAGCUCACGCUCUUCUGGCCACCUCCUUUUUCCUCCCAGAAACUGUUUCCCGUUUACCAUUUCCUGGUGGUUCUGUUCACCCCUGCCCACCUUCCGGUGACCCUGAGGGCACAGACCUGAGCGACCUGUGUGGCCUGUGCGAGCUCAGAGCACUGUGAGGACCGCCCCUUCCUGUCAGGCUGCUCAGGGACAGAUGGAUUGGUACCUGGUGCUGUCUGCAGAACUCGGUCUUCAGCCCUGCACCCCCACUCCGCUGACUCCGAGGGGUAGCAGGGCAGUCCUGGUGUGAUCCCUGUGCCCCGGCUGCUGGGCCUGACCUGGACUUUGCUGUAUGGGGGCUGCUGCUUGCUUGUUUUCUCACCAGGCCUGCGCCAACACUUGGCCACUCCCCAGGCCUCGAACUGUUCCCCAGUGGGGACUUAACACCACGUUCCAUUAGCUAAGUGACUGUAUGUACACCUCCUACUUCCAGCAUCCGAGGAUGUGGGGGUGAGGAGGAAUGUUUAAAUAAAAUCCAAGGAGGCAGUAGACGAUUCUUUUUGCUUUAAAAAAUCUUUGGACUAAAGCUAUGUUUUAUAUAUAAAUAUAUAAAGUAAAUUGUUAUGUAACUAUUAUUGUUUCCUGUAUGUUCUAAUUUUGUUUUAUGAUGUAAUUAAAGGAAGUGCGCUACGGAGA